CUACAUAUGUACACCUUUUGCCAUUUUGCGACCAACUAGCCCCACUUUGAGCCUUCCGACCCCUAUUGAUACGCCAUGUUGAACCAAUGUUUACUCGACUUGGCCCUGGCGAUGGAUCUAGCCUACUCCGUCAGAGUUCUCCCUCGUUGUUCCUACAGCCAAUUUCGCUGUAGUACUAAUGUGAUCUGAACUACAGUUCAGUUAACCGCGUUCCAUUUUCCUUCGUCACUGCAUAUUCGUUCGACAAUAUUGUAUACGUUAUUGUCAGUUCCAACAGAUGCAGCCAUUUAACUUUGUGGUUGCACAAGCCUUGAACAAUUAAACAAUACAUGCUCCGGUGUUUCUUCAAUGCCCCGGCAAUCAGAACACAUCGGCGACCUUGUAUGGCCGAAUCUGCGAAAGUACUGCCUCAAGCAGCCAUCACCAGACAGAAAUUUCGUAAUUUGGAAAUUAACCUCUCCGUGUGCUCGACAGAUUGGGAAUGAGACGAUGGGUUCAUCUGCUGUUCACUGCGUUUUUCGGCUACUGCUGCCGUUUGAGUAGUGUGCUGGCUCGCUUUCUUUUCCGAACUCCUCUUGCGUCUCGGUCUCUUGUAGCUCGCGCUAUUCUCUUCCAGUAGCAGACAGAUAAGAAUCAUCUCGGCUAACACGCACACUAAAUCUGACGAAACAAUUUGAUAUGAACUCGACAAGCGCAUUGCCAUCAGCCUAAACGUACGAUUCAGCUGGGCUAGAUUUCUUCCAGUCUUCAAUACCGCCAACCACAUUGGGCCUGCGCACCGAAUGAUUGCCGACGAUACCCUCGCUAGUAACCGCCUCUUGCUGCUGCUGUUGCUUAUCGCAGAGUUGUUGGGCAUGAUCCGGGAUAGUGCUGAACUGCUGAGAUCACUGCCGCAGUACCGCAUGCCGUGAUCUUCUUGCAGACGUAGUCGACAUGAUUGUCAGUCAAAGUUCAGUCGAUAGUUCAACAUCACCCCACUUCGCAUUUUGAGUAAAUAAUACACUCGCCUCGCCGACCAUGAUUCUUGCACGCUGUACUGUCUUCCGGUGACUGCACCCAUGCAGUUUUCCACAGCGUCUAUCGCAUCCAUUCCUGCGGAACGACCGCUGGUGUCUAUAUCGUAAAUAAGUGUCUGAUUUUGAAAAUAGCAUUUCAGGAUCUGGCACAGACACUCAGACAUCCUCAACAUGUGUAACGAAUCGGCAAUUGCUAUCCAGCUGGCAUUUUUUACAUCCAGGCCAAUAUGCUGAUGGGUCUCCGGGAGGUUUACCUGGCUUCGGUAACAGCACUAACUUCUUCCGCAUCGGAUUUACGUCGAUAGCUGUUCUUAGGGCCCCGUUAAGCAUUUCGUUCGGGCCUGAGGCACUCUCGGUUGGAAAGGCCUUUGCUACUGCGGUCAACACUUCGUUACCUUGCCUUACCGGUCAGACUAAGGCCUGAUUGACCUCUGCUGUACAUAGGGUCGUCUCCAUUCUGCUCGGUCCAGUUCCGCACUCUACGAAGGGUUCGCAGAUUGUCCUCCACUUGAUCGACCCACCUAGCUCGCUGCGCACAACGUUUUCUUGUACCGGUCGGAUGACUAUCCGGGUUGCUAUCCGACAUCCUAAUGACGUGACCCGCCCACCGUAGCCUCCCGAUUUUCGCGGUGUGGACGAUGGUUAAUUCUCUCAGCAGCUGAUGCAGUUCGUGGUUCAUUCGCCUUCUCCAAUUUCCGUCUUCCAUCUGCACUCUGCCGUAGAUAGUACGCAACACCUUCCGUUCGAAAGCUUCAAGGGCGCUUUGGUCCUCAAACGAUCAGAUAUUCUCCUUCAUCCGACGUUUCGAAGUGUAUUACAACUUCUUCAGGGAAUAAGAAGUGUUAAUCGCUUUCGUUUUAAAAGGCUUUGUGGAAGCAUAACCCGUCCGAAAAACUGUUUAAAAAACGUUGGAAUCGACUUUUUGAACACUAGUUAUAUUUUUGCCGAAUUCGGUUCGCACUUCUAAAAACACUACUACAUAUAAAGAUUCCGUUGAUUUUAACAAUCACAAAACCUUCAUCUGCACAGUACAAAACUUCCUUAACGGGAUAUUACUGUUGAUCAUUUCUGAAAUCCAGUUUUCAUUUCCGGUUUGGAGUCGGUAUGGCUUCGAAAUGAUAGCAACAUCGCACUUUUGUUCUACAACGGCUUGCCGCAGCAAAAACUGUGCUGUUUGAGGUUUAUUUGAAUUACCUCCAAUGGGACUUUGUUGCACUCGCUUCGGCCAUUUGUCGGGUGAUUACUAUAUUCUCCGCAUUAGCGUAGAUCAGACUUCUUGGGAACUCCCUGCAGCCUUGAGCCUUGUGACCAAUUUCGUGCCACGUGGCCGUAUUAAUUCUAGACAUUUGUAGCACACUUCCGGUUGCUGAGAGAUACUCAGCGAGCACACGGGGCACACAGACUGCCUACUUCGAUCUUACCAACUCUUAGUGUCUCGUUGUUUACUCGGUAGUUUAAUCGAUGUCACCUGCGUGCCAGAAGGCCCGUUUUUUAUACCGAUGGCCAUCUGGACUUCUCUUAGCUCACACUGCUCAUUCAUGAAUAAACCUACUUCUUCCUCCGAUGUGACCCAAGUUUUUGCAUUGGAGUGUCGCUUUCUCGGUUAGUUCUUUGUAGAAUAAGCUGCUGGCUUUUGGAUCUCUUUUUAACUCCAGGAUCAUUUCCCUAUUACGGAUGCGUCUGAUUUUCUUCACGUCCGUCUGGAUUCGUUCGAUGGUACUUAGAACUUUUGUAUACGUUCGUUGCUUGCUUAAACGAUAAGAACUUCACCUUUCUUUCUCCUCCUGAUAAAUUUACGAUUUUCGGAUCUGCUUUUACUGCGCGAUUACCCUUUUCGUUUGCCGACAGCUUGCCGUAACCACACUUCUAUACUAGACGGAAAUGUCUUUCCAUUUUGCUGCCAGAAAGAGAAAACGUUACAGAAAUGAUCAGCAUCGUUCCUUUCCUUGCAGACAGGGACAGAACUUGGCACAUCUGUCCGGGAAAAAGGCAAGACAUUUCUGUCUGGUAAAGACGCCUGCUGCGAUGACAUUCUCCGCUGGCGAGCGUGCACCUUUACCGGGGGCGUCCUUGUGUUUCUUGGAGCCGCCGUGUCGAACAUCUUCUGGCGAAACCCUUGGCCUCUUCGGCGUGAAGAAGGGUGUAGUUGUCACCCUCUGGGGAAUACUCCCAACAACACUGACUUCCUCUGUAGUUGCAAUGAAACAAUUUCAAAGAUCGUAACUUGAGCAACACAUUCGCCGAAACACCAUUGAAAUAAAUCCGACAUUAUCGACAUCAGGAGCUAUCGUGGCGCUAACAUCGACUCUAACCACUACCUGGUGAUGGUCAAACUGCGCCUAAAACUCUUCGUAAUCAACGAUGCACUGUACCGACGGCCGUUACGAUAUAAGCUAGAGCGACUGACACAACCGGACGUUGCCUCAGCAUACACGCAUAAUCUCGAGGCAGCGUUGCGAGACGAGGGUGAGCUCGAUGUGGUCCCUAGAGGGCUGCUGGAAUACAGUAAAAGCAGCCAUCAACGACGCAGCUGAGAAAACCUUUGGGAACAUGAAACGAAGUCGACGAAACGAAGAGUUCGACGAGGAAUGCAACGCGGUUUUGGUGUAGAAAAACGUUGCACUUACGGUAAUGCUUCAGCAUGGAACCUGGCAGAACGUGGAACGUUAUAAAUAAGAGCGGGAACAUAAGCCUGCGUCUUGUGGGAGAAAAAGCGUAGAUUGCGAGAAAAUGGAACAGCUGUGCUGUUCCCAAGUAACAUGGAAGUUCAACCAGAAGCUCAACGCUUCCCGCAACGGCAACACACGGCGUGUGUAUGGGAAAGGUUUAUAACAAAAAAAUAGGCAUCGUCAAAUUUUUCGCUAUUCAAAAAUAGAGGCUUUCAGCUUUCAUUUGCACGGUCCCUCAAAAAAAUCCACCGAGGGAUCUCGAACAACUUUUUCAGAAUACUGUAUUUCCCCAUACAAAAUGAACGGUUCCAAAUUAAUCCCUAUUUCUACUUAACAAACAUACCCAAUUUUUGUAUGAAAAAGUUCCCCCGAUGGAAUAUUUCGAUGUUGGGCUUGAAUGAAAGCUAGAAGCGUCAACUUUCACGUAACGUAAAAAUUAGCGAUGCCUAUUUUUUUGUAAUAAAUUUCUUCUACCAGACACACCGUGCAACAGUGCGAGCUUAAAUGUGCCGGGAAAACGAGCACAUUUCUACUACAACCUAGGGGCAAGACAGAUACAGCGAGAGUAACUCUGUUAUCGCAGUGUUGCUCAGAAUUCCUCUGGCUAGCUCUGGAUCACUCUGGUUGUUCUGGCAGCACUGCAUGAGUGCCGGUUGCCACAAGAUAUGAGUUCGGCCGAUGAGGCAUUGGUAAGUGUCGUUUGACAGGUGUCAGAGUGACAGCAGAGAUGACAUGAGAAGGAGAGAGAGACAGAUAGCUGUCAAAGGUAGAAAGUAAAUAAAAACAAAAGAAAGGAAGAAAUUGAAUUAGAUUGAAGGUGCCAUUGCGAUUGUUGAUAGGCAAAAUAAAGUUAGAAUAGAUUAACAGUUCGGAAGUUUGGUGAUUAAAAAGGAAGUUGAAAUUCGGUUGAAAUAGAGAAAGGUGCGCGAGUGAUUAGUAGACGAGAAACGAAUCAGGUUUGGUCAGACGAUCACAAGCACAUAUAGUAAGUAGCAAAACUUAUGUACAAUUAGAUUGAAUAGUAAGGAAACUUGUAAUAAUCCGUAGUGUUCUCCGAGCCACGGGAAUAAAUUGAGGGAUUUGACAAGAUAGAGACCCGACGGGACAAUACAUACUGGACAGCAGACUGAGAAAACAGGUAAAUUACUUGAAAGAGUUGAAUGAAGUGAAAGUAAAUACAAGAUUGAUAACAGAUAUCGGAUACGCACGACGAGGACGAGACCGUCUACACAGUGGUCCAAACUGAAUUUAUUAAGGACAAAAUUUGUAAGUUUAAUUUUCGUAUAUUUGAUAUUGAUAUGGACAAAAAUAUAAAUGUAACAUUUCAAUAGGUGAUUGCGUCGCCUAAAAAGGAAGGUAGAAGAGAAGCCGUUAGAGGAAGAAAGACAAACUAAAAUUGUAAGUGUAUUUAUGCGAGUAAGAAAUGCUAAAUUGUAAGAUUUCACGAAACAUUAAAUUUUAUUACUUACAGUUUGAUCUGCCAUAACGUAAAACGGCUGAUUUUCAAAAACGGUUUGUUGAUCCGAAAUUCCGACCCGAACAAAAUCAAAAAUUUUAAAUCGGAUUCUUCGGAAUGGCUUCCUCACCCUCCAAGACCGAGCAAUGUUUGUUCUGCUCGAUGUCGGAGUCGAUGUCUGAGGACGUAAACUGGGUCCAAUGUGGGAAGUGUCAACACUGGGCACAUUUUUCUUGCGCUGGUGUUGAUCAAGGGGUUGUCAACAGUGAUUGGCGGUGCCCACAGUGUCUCCCAAGUAGUGCGCAGCAGCUGAAAGUUCCGGAUGCAGCGGCCAAGAAGCGGAGCAAGAAGUCCGGCCAAAGAAGCGAUGGAGGGUCCGACCUGGGAGCUGGCUCUGACGUGGAUCCGAUUGAGAAGCAGUUGGAAGAGGAGCAACUCGCCAAGGAGAAGGCCUUUGCAAAGCAGAUGGCGGCGCGGAAGAAGCUACUUGCUCGGCAGAAGGCGUGGAAGGAAGAACAGCAGAGGCAAGAACAGGAGAUGCGUGAGCUGGAACUCCAGGUUCAACGCGAAAUGGAGGAGCAGCAGUUGGAGCACGAACAGAAGUUACUGGACGCCCAACUGGCAGCAGAGCAGGGAAGCGAUUCGGAGGCAGUUUACGAGCAGCGUCAACCGAGUCAACGCGCUGAAAGGCCAAGAAAGCGCUGUUGGUGAAGCUUCGGAGGACCAUCCGAAGAAGAGAGUGAAGGAGUGGCUGAAGGAUCAGUCGGCGGCAGUCGUCAAGCCGUCGACCGCGGAUUUUCGGGGAGCGUACCCAAAAGGAGACGAACUAUUCGGAGCGGGAUGCUCGACGCAAGUUGGCAAGCCAAAGCCGAUGUCGAAAGUGCCGGUGAUCACGGAAUUCGAAGCUGGCACAAGUGAGGACAGCGACAGUGAUGGCGACAGCAGCAGCGACGAGUCGUUUAAAGACGUUCGUGCGGAGAGCAGCCGGCGUGGCAGUCUGCGGAGGAGCAGAGUUGUUGACGGGCCGGGGCCAAGAGUUGGCCGAAUCUACGAAGAGCAGCUAGAUGAUCGAGCGGAAAGCAGCCGGCAUAGCAGUCUGCGGAGAAGCAGAGGUGCUGAAGGGCCAGGGCCAAGCGUUGGUCGGAUCUCCAGGGAGCAACUAGCUGCUCGAAAAGCAGUGUCGCAACACCUUCCAAAGUUUCGGGGAGAAGCAGAAGUCUGGCCGCUGUUCAUUAGCAGCUUCGAAUACACGACGGCGGCGUGCGGAUUUUCAAAUCUGGAGAACCUGAAGCGGUUGCAGGACUGCUUACAAGGCGACGCACUCGAGGCAGUAAGAAGCAGGCUGGUUUUACCGGACUCAGUACCAGACGUGAUAACCGAUCUACGGAAUCUGUUCGGGAAGCCGGAGAAGCUGCUGAAGACGCUGCUGACGAAGGUGAGAAACGCUCCAGCGCCGAGAGCCGAUCGGCUGGAAACCUUCAUAAGUUUCGGCAUCACCGUAAAGCAAUUAUGUGAUCAUCUCGAAGCGGCACAGCUCAGCGACCACCUCAAUAACCCGAUGCUAGUGCAGGAGCUGGUCGACAAAUUGCCGCCGAGCUACAAGCUGGAUUGGGUCCGGUAUAAGCGCGGCAGAGUGGACAGUCCGCUGAGGAUGUUCACUCGAUUCACAACCGACAUCGUUUCCGACGUCUCCGAGGUGACGGAGUUCUCUACACUGUCGGUGAACGAGCGGGUGCGGCCUGGAAGAGAGAAUCCCCGGAAGAAGGAGUUUGUGCAUGUGCACGAAUCAGAGAAGAGGCAGAAUGAAGGUUCUCGCAGCGAGGUGACCAGCCGGCCAUGUUGGAUUUGUAGGCGAACGGAUCAUCUCAUCCGUAAUUGCGAUGAGUUUAGGAAAAUGAACAUCGCGGAGCGGCUACGAGAAGUCGAGAAGCAGAAACUCUGCGGAAUCUGCUUGAACAAACACAGCGGAAGUCGGUGUUCGUCGAAGAUCCGGUGUAUGAUGCGGAAUUGCCAGGGAUCUCAUCAUCCUUUGCUGCACCGGGUGGAAGAGUCAGUGCAGCUGCAAGAAGCGAAGUCAGACUGCAAGGUGAUUUUCCGGAUGAUGCAAGUGACACUUCACGUCGGCAAGCGGCAGUACGACACCGUCGCAUUUCUGGACGAAGGGUCGUCGGCGACGUUGGUGGACGACGCGGUGGCAAAGCGACUGAAGGCAGAAGGGACACUAGAGCCGCUGAUAGUCACGUGGACCGGCAACAUCAACCGGUUUGAGAACGAGUCCAGAAGCGUGGAGAUGAUGAUGUCGGCGAAGGGCUCAAAGGAGAAGUAUCCACUGUUCAACACGCGGACAGUAUCUGAGCUGCAGCUUCCCAAACAGAAGGUUCGGUUUACAGAGGUGGUGAAGCGGUACACACAUCUUGCUGGUGUGCCGGUGAAGGACUUUCCGUCCGGCGUACCGACGAUUCUCAUCGGGCUAGACAACCUGCAUCUUUUCGCACCGCUGGAGUCUCGUGUUGGGAAGCCGAACGAACCGAUCGCAGUUCGGUCGAAGAUGGGCUGGACGAUUUACGGCUCCGAGAAACGGAGGCCUACGGCGCAGACGUAUUUAAACCUGCACUCCGUCACACCGGUGAGCAAUCAGGACCUCCACGACCUGAUACGGGAGCAGUACGUGCUGGAGGAGGCGCCAACCGCAUCAUACGCCAUUCCAGAACCGGCGGAAGAAAAACGGGCUCGAGAAAUCCUCGAGUCGACAACGAAGCGAGUAGGCGAUCGUUUCGAAACAGGCUUGCUGUGGCGAAGCGACGAAAGGCGAUUUCCGGACAGUUACCCUAUGGCCGUCCGGCGGAUGAAAGCACUCGAUCGAAAACUGGAACGAAACCCAGCGCUGAAGGAGAACGUGUGUCGGCAGAUUGAGGACUAUCAGUCGAAGGGAUACUCGCACAAAGCUACCGAUGCUGAGUUGUCGGAGACGCCGCUGAAUGCGGUGUGGUAUCUACCGCUGAACGUUGUGGUGAAUCCACGGAAACCAGGCAAGGUGCGACUAGUAUGGGACGCGGCGGCAUCAGUGAACGGAACGUCGUUGAAUUCGGAGCUACUUAAGGGUCCGGACAUGCUGGUCCCUCUUCCCCGAGUCAUCUGCCAUUUUCGAGGGCGUCCGGUGGCCUUCGGCGGGGACAUCCAGGAAAUGUACCACCAAAUCCGCAUCAGAACGGAGGAUAAGCAAGCGCAGCGGUUUCUCUUCAGGAACAGUAGCGAGGAAGCUCCGCAGGUGUAUGUCAUGGACGUGGCAACCUUCGGCUCGACGUGCUCGCCAAGCUCAGCACAAUACGUGAAGAACUUGAACGCCGAGCAGUAUUCGGAACAGUAUCCAGAAGCGGCAGUAGCGAUAGUCAAGCGGCACUACGUUGACGAUUACUUCGACAGCGUGAACACAGUAGAGGAAGCGAUCCGGCGAGCCAACGAAGUGAAAUUCGUUCAUUCGUGUGGCGGGUUCCGAAUCAGGAACUGGGUGUCGAAUUCCGGAGAGUUCCUGGAGAAGCUUGGAGAGCGAAGUGGUGAGUCGGCAGUGCAUUUCAGCCUGGACAAGAGCACGGACUACGAGCGGGUGCUAGGAGUUGUAUGGGAUACGAUCCAAGACGUUUUCUGUUUCGCAAAGGCCUCGAAGACAGAACACUCGAAGGUACUACGAGGAGAAGAACGUCCGACGAAACGAAUUGUGCUCAGUAUAGUGAUGGCACAGUUUGAUCCGGUGGGUUUCCUCACGCCAGUCACCAUUCUGGGAAAAAUGCUGAUCCAAGACCUCUGGAGGACAGGCUGUCAGUGGGACGACGAAGUGGACGAAGCAUCCUUCAACAAGUGGAAACGGUGGACGAACAUUCUAGCGGAUGUGCACGCAUUCAGACUGCCACGCAGCUACUUCGGUCACGCUCGGUUGGAAGAGAUUAGCGACGUACAAUUGCACAUUUUUGCGGAUGCGAGCGAGACGGCGUAUGGAUGCGUAGCGUAUUUCCGAGCAAUAGUACGAGGAGAAGUGAUGUGCGCGCUGGUAAUGAGCAAAGCAAAGGUAGCACCGUUAAAGCAGCUGUCAAUUCCUCGUUUGGAACUUCUGGCAGCGGUUCUUGGGGCACGGAUGUCGCAGACGGUACGCGAGAACCACAACUUUGCCAUCACGAAGGUGGUGUUCUGGAUUGAUGCAGAGGUGGUGCUAUCAUGGAUCCGAUCCGAUCAGCGCCGCUAUAAGCAGUUCGUCGGAUUCCGCAUUGGAGAAAUCCUGAGCCUGACGAGACUGGCAGACUGGCGAUGGGUGCCAACAAGGCUGAACGUAGCGGACCAGCUGACGAAGUGGGGCAAGAAUCCGGAGAUACACCCGGACAGCCCGUGGGUGCGAGGACAGCAGUUCCUGUACGAGAGCGAGGAAGACUGGCCGAUGAAGAGUUUGCCGCCGGUGAACACAACGGAGGAACUACGAGUGCACCUGUUGUUGCACGAUGUGAAGGUCCCAGCGGUGCUUGUGGACGCGAACCGCUUCUCGAAGUGGACGGUCCUGGUGCGAACGAUGGCGUGUGUGCUACGAUUCGUAUCGAACUGUAAGCGGAGGAGGAAACGGCUUCCGAUUGAAACUCUGCGAGCGACGAGCAGUCAACUGAAGGUGCGGUUAUCGAAUGAAGGUGUGUCAGUUCGCGCACCCUUGAAGCAAGAGGAGUAUGAGAAGGCGGAACGGUGUCUGCUAAAGAUAGCACAGUCUGAAUGCUUCAUCGACGAGCUGAAGGUGCUGUCCAGGAACCAGUGUCGACCAGUAAGCCAGUGGAUGGCCAUCGAGAAGGCCAGCCCGCUAUACAAGCUGACUCCGAUGAUCGACGAAGACGGACUGAUACGGAUGGAGGGACGCGUCGAAAGAGCGGAAUUCCUACCGUUCGACCUCCGGUUUCCGGUCAUUCUUCCGGGCGACCACCAAAUUACGCGGCUGAUAGUUCAGCAUUAUCACGAGCUGUGUGGCCACGGAUACCGCCAGGCGGUGAAGAACGAAUUGCGACAGUUGUACCACAUUCCGCACGUAGAUGCAGUGGUCCGGAAGGUGUCGGCUUCCUGUGUAUGGUGCAAGGUACAUCGAUGUCGUCCGGAAACUCCAAGAAUGGCGGCACUGCCAGUGCAGCGACUGACGCCGAAUCUACGGCCGUUCAGCUACGUCGGAGUCGAUUACCUGGGGCCGUUCGACGUGACCAUAGGGCGCAGAACGGAGAAGAGGUGGAUCGCGCUGUUCACCUGCAUGGUAACACGCGCGGUGCAUUUGGAGGUGGCGUUUGGACUAACGACGCAAUCUUGUUUGAUGGCGAUACACCGGUUCAUCGGCCGCCGUGGCUGGCCGGUCGAGUUUUUUUCGGACAACGGGACGAAUCUGCGAGGAGCCAGCAAGGAAGUAGUGGAGUCUGUGCUGGGCAUCAGCGAUGACUGUGCAGACCAACUGACGAACGCGAGGACGAAGUGGACGUUCAACCCUCCGGCCGCACCACACAUGGGUGGCGUUUGGGAGCGGUUGGUACGUUCGGUGAAGGAAGCGCUCACCGCGCUCGAUGACGGAAGGCGAUUGACGGACGAGAUCCUGCAGACGGCAAUUGUGGAAGCUGAGGACAUCAUCAACUCCCGUCCACUGACAUACGUGUCGCAGGAGUCUGUAGAAGCAGAAGCACUCACUCCAAACCAUUUUCUGAGGGGUGCAUCUCCGAACCAGCCGUGUGUGACGCGGUUUCCUCCUCAACCAGCGGAGGCCCUUCGGGACGCGUUCCAGCGUUCGCAGCAGUUAGCCAGCGUAAUUUGGGAACGAUGGAUCAAGGAGUACGUGCCAUCGUUGAACCAGAGGACGAAGUGGUUCGGCGAAUCGAGGCCAUUGCGAGUUGGAGAGGUAGUGUACGUGGUCGAGGGUGCUAACCGGAAGUGCUGGGUCCGUGGAGUAGUUGAAGAGGUCAUCGCGUCCGGCGACGGAAGAAUCCGUCAAGCGUGGGUGCGUACCAGCACUGGAAGGUACAAGCGAGCAACAGUGAAGCUGGCCAGGAUGGAGAUAGACUGUGGUAACCCUGAGCCGGAUGAGGCCUCCGGGACAGAGUUACGGGCCGGGGAAUGUUCUGGCAGCACUGCAUGAGUGCCGGUUGCCACAAGAUAUGCGUUCGGCCGAUGAGGCAUUGGUAAGUGUCGUUUGACAGGUGUCAGAGUGACAGCAGAGAUGACAUGAGAAGGAGAGAGAGAGACAGAUAGCUGUCAAAGGUAGAAAGUAAAUAAAAACAAAAGAAAGGAAGAAAUUGAAUUAGAUUGAAGGUGCCAUUGCGAUUGUUGAUGAUAGGCAAAAUAAAGUUAGAAUAGAUUAACAGUUCGGAAGUUUGGUGAUUAAAAAGGAAGUUGAAAUUCGGUUGAAAUAGAGAAAGGUGCGCGAGUGAUUAGUAGACGAGAAACGAAUCAGGUUUGGUCAGACGAUCACAAGCACAUAUAUGUUCUCCGAGCCACGGGAAUAAAUUGAGGGAUUUGACAAGAUAGAGACCCGACGGGACAAUACAUACUGGACAGCAGACUGAGAAAACAGGUAAAUUACUUGAAAGAGUUGAAUGAAGUGAAAGUAAAUACAAGAUUGAUAACAGAUAUCGGAUACGCACGACGAGGACGAGACCGUCUACACAGUGGUCCAAACUGAAUUUAUUAAGGACAAAAUUUGUAAGUUUAAUUUUCGUAUAUUUGAUAUUGAUAUGGACAAAAAUAUAAAUGUAACAUUUCAAUAGGUGAUUGCGUCGCCUAAAAAGGAAGGUAGAAGAGAAGCCGUUAGAGGAAGAAAGACAAACUAAAAUUGUAAGUGUAUUUAUGCGAGUAAGAAAUGCUAAAUUGUAAGAUUUCACGAAACAUUAAAUUUUAUUACUUACAGUUUGAUCUGCCAUAACGUAAAACGGCUGAUUUUCAAAAACGGUUUGUUGAUCCGAAAUUCCGACCCGAACACUGGUUUUCCCGAAGUGUUGCCUCAUACCAGUGAAAAAUCGAGCAGUCUUGCCCGAUUUCCCGCUUUGUAGAGACGUUUUUGAAUGGAUUCGAACAAAAAAGGUUACUCAGGAUUACUCAGAGUUGCUCCGAAUUUCACAGUGUCUUGCCUCUAGACUACAACGGCAAAGGCCUUCUAUCUACUUGUUUUUUUUUGCGACAAAUUACAAAAUCCUUCCAUGAUGUCUAUGCAAUGAAGGCAGUCUACUGUGUAGUGGUUCGUAGUGUAUUGGAAUACGCUGUUCAAGUUUGGGCUCCGUAUUGCCAAGUUCAACGUAGUAGAGUUGAGCGCGUCCAACGAUCAUUAAUUACGGCGCCUGUCGUGGAAUGAUGCUGUGAGGUUAGGUACCCCCAUACGAAAAUAGGUGCAUGCUGUUGCAGUUGGAGACACUAGCAUCGAGAAGGGUAAUGCUGCAGAGACUGUUCUGUUUUAAUCUGCUGGCAGGGAACAUCGACUGCGGAGAGCUGCUUUUUCAAUUGAAUAUUCAUGCCCAAACUCGUCAUCUUCGGAAUCAUGCUCUCUUCUACCUACGCAUCGCACGCUUUAUGGACAUUUCAACCCGUUGCAUUUCUGCUGCAGGCUUUUCAGCGAAGUCAAUGACAAUUUUGAUUUUAAUAUUACAAAGACAACGUUUGGGAGCGAGCAAUGGCGCUUAAGCCUAGGCAUUAGGGCCAGGACACGGACUAAAUACCUGUGUCCCAUCCCAGGAAGCACCAAGGGCCAAGGGGUGACAUUAACCUUUUUAGCAUCGUCACCCCCACCGAUUUUCACCGUAUUUUACUUUUCAAUAAACUGAGCGGUUGGUACGAGAUGUCCCCGCUCAUUGUUUUCAUUGUUGAAUCAAAAACGCUGCACAGUAGGCCUGGCCGCUUUAAUGAUUGUAAUGCAUCUUCGAUGUACUGAAAUCAUUAAUAAUGACAAGAAAAAUGAUGGAAGUAGUCGUUUCCCUCAUUUUCCAGGAUUCUUUCAAUGAUUGGCUGUGUAUGUGUAGACUAGACUAGACUAGACUAAUAUUACAAAGACAACGUUUGAAAAUAGGAUAAGGAAUUAGGUUAAGUAUCAGUCUGUACAACUAGUUAGGUUGAAGAUGGUGAAUAAAUAAAUUAAAUUAAAUUAAAAAAGGUCCAUUUUUACGGACGAACGUGAGAGGAUUGAAAGGUGUAAGCAGCACUUCGACAAACACCUGAAUGGUGCAAAAAAAUGCAGGAACUGUGGAACAAGCAGUGGAAAAAAUGACUAUCAGCACGACGGAUGAGAUGGCCAACCAACUCCCUCACUGCUGGAAAGGAUAAUAUACUGCCCCGCUUCGCAUGUCACUCCCAUGUUGAUUUUAAAAGUGCCUACGUAUUGCACUAUAACUUCAAUUGUUUAAAAAAAAAUGUAUUCAAUUCAUCUAUAAACAUUUCAUUGCACAUUGAGCUGUGAAAUGAAGCGAGAAAAACAUCAAAUUUGUUUUAAAUGAGCUCGUGAGAGACAAAAAUAUUAUUCGCAUUAGAAACAACAUGGGACUGACAUGCCAAGAGAGGCAGUACAGCAGCUGCACUCAUUGAGAUAUGUCCGGAAAAGUUUACCACUUUUUGUGGGGUGUGAACAACGAUAGUGUCAUUCCCCUUGCUUGCCCUUCCCCUAGCAAGUAUCAGUGACAUCAAGCAUCAUGCCGAGGUUGUCAGUGUGAUGCUGGCUCAUUGAGGAGUGGAGCUUUGGCGGAGGAAGUCGCCUUAAUCGUGAGUCCUGUACAAUGCCAAGUGAUUCUACUUUAGUUUGCUAAGAUGGCAGGGAAUGGAUUGUACCGGUGAGUUACGCGAUAGUCACACUUGUCACCGGCUGAUUGUCAGGAUGUGGGAAACGGAACAAUUACCGCCAGAGCUUUACCGUAGGGCAAAUCUUCCAAAAAUGCCAUGUAUAUCAGAUUUAUACGCAUCACCUGUUCAUCGAUUUCAAGACGGCAUACGACCGUGCAGUGCUAUGGAAAAUCAUGGACGAGAACGACUUUUCCGGGAAGUUUACAAAGUUUACAAAAACAUUGACCUGUGGUCCCCUACGAUCACGCGAUAUGGACCCCGAUACCCGAGAAAGAUUUUCGAGGACUCGUAGUUUUCGAGCGACGCGUGCUAAGGGCGAUGUUGGGCGACGUGUUGCGCGAAUGCCGGAUGCAACCCUGCAAAGAUUUUGUUCGCUAGAAAUCCGGAUGCUAUAAAACUUGAGAGGUUGAGAGGUAGGACCAGGUAGGACGUUUCCAAAGCUGGAGAGAUGGUGCAGCGAGCUGAAUAUGUAGCGUAUUGUAUUAUUGUGAACUCAGUCUUGUCUAUGUAAAAAUGUUGAACUAAAUAAAUGAAAUGAAACCAUUGAGUUAGACCUACCAUCAGAUGAAGUGCAAGUCCAUUACUGAAAGUAAAAAUCACAUGACAAAUGCAUGUUUUCGAUUGCAGAGAGUUCAAGAUAUUCUCAAGCGUUCAAUUUGGUUUCACAAACAUCAUGCUUACGUACACAAUUCCACUGAACUGGAAGUUUUUGCUCUUUCGCCAAAAUAUUUGCAUUCCCUAAAGUGCACAAAAAAUCGAUGACAAUGCAAGUCAAUCCACCCCUCUAGCCCCUGGGAACCUACUCCCGAAAACAGGAAAAAAAAACACCAAAUCCGGCAAGUCAUAAAAACGCUUCUCCCGGUGAAGAUGGAACUUGUUUUCCAGAGCGCACAGGCCCAUCGUCAGCCAUCUCAGGGGAUACCGGUUCGAUUUGCGUAUCUGAUCGUAUAAAUACAUUCAGCAGCCACCGGCGCACGGUAAUCAGCGAGGCCACCGCACCACCCGAUAGGGUGUCACUGGGAUUGUUGGCCGGUUGGUUAGUGUGGUGAGGUUGCUUGCUUCGAAUCACGCCACUUUUGGGGGUCAGUAUUCGUUUGGCGGGUGCAAAAAUCUGCGCUGAACUCGCCAACAACAACUGAUCGCGGAUGAUGAUGCAGAGACACAACAACAGCUCGUCGAGCAGAAAAAAAACUAACCGGCAGGUUUCGAUUUAUUUGAUUAUGUUGAUGCGAUGGCGGCCGGCAGGUUAUUAGGCUGCGGGGACGUCGCGUCGUCGUCGUCAACCGGGCAAGAAACCGAUGGCACGUGGAGCUUUUUUUAUCGUCUCCUAAAAUGCUCCUUGGGCGCUGACUGGCGGUAACAUUUGGUAAACCCGAAUAACCUGUUCCGCCGGCUGGACAACGGUGGACACACUUUCGGCUAGAUGAAAUUUAUUCAUGGGGAGUGAUAAAAAAUCAUUUGCGUUUGAUAAUUUAUGCACUCGAUGGGUAGAUGGAUGUAAAUUCUUCGACUGUAGCUGUAGCUAUGGACGGACUUCUGAUAGAUUAAGGUGAGAAAGUAGUCUCCUAAAGAAUAAGAAAGGAAGCUGCUCUAGCAGUCUAGCUUGAACCGAUCGAAACUGAUAUCAGGCAGUUUGGAGACAUGGUGCGAACAAGAUUGAUGAGAUUAUCUGAAAAUACCAUGGAUUACAGAUUUGGAUAGUGGGCAGAUCACACAAACAUGGUAAACUCUCAGCUCAGUUGUUUUAAAUGGUGGAUCUCAUUUUCGACUCAAUCGUGACCAAAAAUAAUCGGUAUUACUUGGUUAAAUCUGGUUAUUUAAUGCUAAGCAAGGACAUCAGAUUAGCAAUUUUAAGACGAGAGGCUUGGCACUCGUUGGAUCAAUAUUUUUCACAGAAAGAAGCACAAAUUUGUAUAAUGAUCUGUAAUACCAUAAAGAGCAGUCAUUUUUUUUUACAAAUUGAAUUGAAUUUUGAGUACAUAGUGAGAUACGUACAGGGUCUCUACAUUUGUGAACCCCGUGUUUGCUUCUUCUUCUUUUUCUGUAUGGUUCUACGUUCCCACUAGAAGUUGGCCUGCCUCUCUUCAACCUGGUGUUCUUUGAGCACUUCCACAGUUAUUAAUUGAAGGGCUUUCUUUGCCUGCUAUUGCAUGAAUUUGUACAUUGUGAGACAAGGACAAUGAUACACUAUGCCCAGGGAGUCGGGAAAAUUCUCCCGACUGGAAUGGGAAUCGAAUCCGUCGUCUCCAGAUUGGCGAUCCAUAACCUUAGCCACUAGGUUAACUGGAAACCCCGUGUUUGCUACUUUCAGUAAAAAUGAAACGGCAAACUCGCGUGUCAUGCCUCGAGCAUGUGUGCUUGUCAACAACGCAAUCGUUGCUACAUUCGUCUGUGAACUAACUACUAGAGAUGUGCUGUCACAAUUGAUGUGCUUUCGGAAACCUCCACCACAGAGAAACAGACGUAACAAUUAGAACAAAUUUGAUUAAAAAACAUCGUCACGAAAACGUAAUCGCCCAAUGCUAAACAUGCCUUGUUUGGCCGAGCCACCACUAUGGUAGUAGCGAGCAAACGUCAAACAAGUGCAAAAACGAUGUCAGCGACGGAUAUGGUCAAUCGAUCAACUAUUGAACCGUUUAAUAGGUGGUCGAUGGGAAGCGAUCAGAGUGUGACGUCUUUUUUCCUGUGCCUUCACAGGGGUUCUAUUAUUCUGAAGAGAAGCGCUUUCUCAGUUUUGGAAAAUUAAUUACUUUCAAUGAAACCUUACAAAUGCUUCAAGAAAGCUCUUUAGUCUGCUGAACAAUUCGGCUUGAAAACCCCAAAUUGCCAUCAAAACGUAGAGCAUGUCAACAUCCUCCUCUGAUCACACUUCCAUCCUUCCAUAUUGAAACCAAUCCUGAUGACCUUACUCUACAUCUUCAACCGGCAUGUUGUUGUCAGGAUAUCCUUGGUACAUAUAUUUUUAUUUCUGGAAUCUUCCAUAACCGACUAAAAAAAUCUUCCCGCAACGUCUACUACAGAUAAACCUUGAUCAGCUCCUCGUUAUUCGUAAAUUUAUGUCAUUCGAGAAAUGGAUAAAAGAGUACAGUGAAAUCGGUGUACAUCGGCCAUUUUUCAACUUCGGAUACUCGAAGUCUUUCACAUAAUAUUGAAUGUUCAAUUUCCUUCUGGCAUUAUAUUUCAACUGGUAGAAAGUUGGCCGAGGUGUUGUUAAUCGUGCAACUUACAACGAAUCGACUGUAUAUCUUUCGUCCAGAGUAAGCCAGAGCCAGACAGUCAACCAGCUGAGUGCCGCUCAUUUGCCUACAUUAUCGAUAAAAACCGGUCGCUCUGGUGGAAUAUUUUCGAGAUGGGCACAAAAAGGGGAAAGUGUUCCAGAACGUUCCGAUCCAGCUUUCUUCGGUAAUUUCUCCUCCUGCUCGUGCAUUAGCUUAGUGGAUGCAUCGGAGUGGCUCAGGCUUGUAAGGAAAAUGCACAAAAGCAAAGGAAUUGUUAAUCAGUUUUCCUAUGAGAAAUCUGUCAAACUACUGUCACGUGUUCAUUGUUUUAAGGUCUUAUUCCUCUUGGAGUUCUUUAUGGGAUUUCUCCAAGAUUUUCUUUUGGGAUUGCUGUAGGAAUAUCUUCUGGGGUUCCCUUAGAUUUUUUUUUCUGAAAUUCUUCCUUCUGAUCCCAUUCCCAUCUGUCGUAAUGCAAUUCCUCUAGGACAUUUGUGUAGGAAUUUCCGCUAGUUUUUGUUUUAUGAAAUUCCUUAUGAAGUUCCGCGAUGAAUAUUUCCAACAAUUUCUUAAGGAAUUCCUCAAGUAGUUUUGUAAGGAAUUCCCCCAGAAUUUUUUAUGAAUUUUCAUCAAUAGUUUCCUCCAGGGUUACAUUUCUUCUGGAAUCCCAGAACAAAAAAACUACUGGAGAUAUUACUGAAGUCUUCUACAGAAAAUCAGGAGGGCCUAUUACGAGACAUAAAAAAAAUCCUGCAGGAAUCUCGGAAGGUAUUCUCGGAGGGAAUUUCGGAAACAAGCUCUGGAAGAUUCCCGGAACUCCUGGAGGAACCACGGAAGCAAUUCCUCAAGAUCUUCCUUUAAGAAUCGGAGAAGGAAUCAUGGAAAGGACUUCUAAAAAAAUCCCAUUUGCAAACAUUUUUUUUAGAAAAUUCAGAAGAAACUCCUGGAAUAAUCUAAAAGAAAACUUCUGAAAAAGAAAUUCCAAGAGAAAUCAUGAAACUAAUUUCUGGAAAGGCCACGAAAUGGCGGAAUUUUCAUAAGAAAUUCUUGGAGGAAUUUCAGAUGGAAUCUCUUGGGCAUUGGCGUGGCCAGCUGACUCAAAGAGAACUUCUGAAGGAAUCCUACAUUAACCCCAGAAAGAAUCUCAUAAGGAACGCCUUGAGGGAUCCUCAACUUCUAGAGGAAUCGUGGAAAAAAAUUCUGGAGUAAUCACGGAAGAAAUUCCAGAGAAAUCCCUGAAGUAAUUCGUGAGGAAUCCUUCAAGGAGUUCCUAGAGCAAGUCAUUAAUCAGCACACUUUCCGACCCACCCCAUAUUUUGAAUGCAGUCAUACAACAAAUAAUUAUUAAGUAUUUAAUCUAUGAUGCUACCAAUGGAAAGCUGACGAAUUUGUCUUAAAAUUGAAUCAUUAACAACAAGUCCACGAAAUGUAAAUGACUUAGAAAAAUAUACCUUGGCAACCGUGGCGUGCAGUUCUCUAUGGAGUUUGACACUGGGUCAACAUGGUCGGUUUUUUUUGCAACAAAGCUUUUUCGAUUCUUUGUGGCGUCCAAAACAAUUGGUUUCUUUAACGGUGUUGAGAUAAUUCCAUAUUCUGAAUCUGCAUGCAAAACUGAGCCGAAAUCAAAAUUUUCAUGAAUCUCGGUGCUUGGGAACCUAUUUAAAAUUCAAUUUGAAGUUUGUAUGGGAGCGAUUUGUCGAAUCACCCCUCGUCGCAUUUUGUACUGGGUGGAGCUGUCAAACAGUUACCCAGCUGUCAAAAGGUGAUUUCAAAAAAUCUUUUUGAAAUUGAUUUUAGGUAUCAAAAUAAAGUUCAGUUGAAAAUCAGUUGAAAAAACAUUUUUUCUAAUCCAUUAGUAUACGUUGAAUAGUGUGGUUUUUUUUGGUCACUGGAUUCGAAGGUCGGUUCGACACCCUACCCUAUUUCAAAUGCCUUUUACAACGAACCUCGUAAAUUUGAGUCUCCUUGCUAUCACUUUUCCACAAACCACCUUGUUUUUGAUGCGACAUUUUGUUAUCAUCGUUGUAAAAAGAGAGUAAAGACUGAAGAUGAUGGCACGGUAAAGGCUGGGUAAUCCGCACAAUACAGAUCCCUUUGAGAUCACUACCCAAGUAACCAAAAGUUCUACGGCUGUUCGGGCUCGAAAGAAGUUGAUCAUCAAUAUUAAUUUCUAUUCCCGAUCAGCCUAGAUAGCCGUGUAGUGUCGGUAGCAGUUCCUUCAACUGGCUAAGAAUAACACUACGGACCGUCUGUUCCGGUGGUAAGAGUCCACUAACAGGUGACCCCUAAUUCAUGGUGUCAAGCGGCUUAAUGCGUACCGUGCCUAGGAAUGAAUGGUUAGGGGGGUCUAAUAAAAACCUAGCCGCUAACGGUGCCUGUGGAGUACCAGGGCACCCUCCACAGUAUUUUUGCCCUUACUGUGUUAAACGGAGCAAUGACGCAGUGGACCUAAUUUGUCUCCGGGAUAAUCGGCUACUUUUCUUAAGUCUCAAUUCCGAGGCUUAACAAAAGUGGGUAAAUGUAUAUUUUCAUGACUGGAAUCAAGUUUGUACAGGUAAACCUUCAUCACGCAAAAGGUGCUUCUGCUGUGUUGAGUCGAAGGUUUAAAAAAGAAGGGCUGGAAGUGGCGCUAAUUCAAGAGCCAUGGUCCAAUAAACGAAAGAUUCUUGGUGUUCUGACACAAAAUAGUAAACUAUUUUAUGAUGAGCAACAAGAUUCUCCCAGAACUGCUGUCCUAGUACGUAAAACGUUAAAAUGUUAUCCUAUUACAGAGUUUAUCAGAAAGGACAUUGUUGCGGUCAUGGUAGAGGUACCAACCACUAGGGGUAAAACUGAGAUCGCUGUGGCUUCAGCUUACUUUCCUGGUGAUGUUCCUGAGGUACCUCCUCCUGAGAUCGCAUCAUUUGUUCAAUUCUGUAAAGAAAACAACAAAUCGUUCAUCAUUGGCUGUGACGCCAAUGCGCAUCACACGGUUUGGGGUAGUACGGAUAUUAACGGUCGAGGUGAGUCACUAUUAGAGUAUCUGUCUUCGAACAAUAUAGACAUUUGUAAUAAUGGUGAUAAACCUACUUUCUUAAAUGCAAUCAGACAAGAGGUCUUGGAUCUAACACUGUGCAACGCUGCAAUCUUUGACAAGAUCACAAACUGGCACGUGUCAGAUGAGAUUUCUCUAUCUGAUCAUAAACACAUAAUCUUCAAUUGGAGCGGUGGAGAUUAUUCUAGAACUGCAUUUAGAAAUCCCAGGAAGACAAACUGGGAUCAAUAUGUGGAAUUGUUGAAUUCGCAUUCAUUUACAAUGGAGGAAACUAUCGAUUCAACCCAAAAGUUGGAAUCAUUUUCUCAAAGAGUAAAUGAAAGUAUCAUCAAUUCCUUUAACAGCAGUUGUCCCACCAUACAAUCGUCUUCUACUAGAGACGUGCCAUGGUGGAACUUUAAACUGGAUCGCCUAAGAAAAUUUUCUCGUAAAAUGUUCAAUAGAGCGAAACAAACGGGAGAUUGGACUCAGUAUAGGAAAGCCCUGACUGAGUACAACAACGAAAUUCGAAAAUCUAAAAGAAAAUCUUGGGUGCUGACAUGUGAAAACAUAAACAGUACUCCUGUAGUUGCUAGACUACAAAAAACGCUUGCAAAAGAUCAUGCAAAUGAAUUGGGAAAUCUGAAGCGUGACGAUGGAGCUUUUACCAAAACUCCUCGUGAAACUUUGGAUUUAAUGAUGGAAACCCAUUUUCCAGGUUCGGUUCUAAGUGUGGAUUCCAAUGAUACUAUAUCUCUGGAAGGUGAAGGAUGUCCUAGUAUAAACUCAAUGGAGUCAAAUAGUACAGUAAACACCGCCUCAGAUUUAGCUGAUGAAAUCUUCACGAAGGCCAGAGUGGAAAAUGCGAUAAGAUCUUUUCAGCCUUUUAAAUCUGCAGGAGUUGAUGGGAUAUUUCCAGCACUGAUUCAAAACGGAGAAACGGUGUUGGUUCCAUCACUAAUUGAGAUGUUCAAGGCUAGUUUGAGAUUGAAUUUCGUUCCAUCAAAAUGGAGACUUGUAAAAGUUAUCUUUAUCCCGAAAAAGGGGAAACGAGAUAAAACGCAUCCGAAAGCAUAUAGACCAAUUAGUCUUUCUUCAGUUUUGUUGAAGACUAUGGAAAAGGUUUUGAAGGAUUUUAUCAAUUCUUCUUACAUAAAAGAGCAUCCCCUGUCUGACUUCCAGUUUGCUUAUCAAUCUGGUAAGUCAACGGUUACGGCACUUCACUCGCUAGUAACAAAGGUGGAAAAAACGUUUUCAGCAAAAGAAAUAGCUCUAUGCGCCUUUUUAGAUAUAGAAGGAGCAUUUGAUAAUGCCUCCUAUUCAUCUAUGAAGCGUGCCAUGGAGAAUAAAAACUUCGACCAAUGUAUCAUACAUUGGAUUCAUA
This is an RNA transcript of Aedes albopictus (Asian tiger mosquito), 21570 nucleotides long. RefSeq lists it as uncharacterized. NCBI's taxonomy places the organism in Eukaryota, Metazoa, Arthropoda, Insecta, Diptera, Culicidae. The transcript has 2 exons. The record is from RefSeq and is a predicted model, not a curated record.